UCUGAUUAGCGGCCUGGGAUUAAACGCUGGUGGAUGCUUCAUACAUGCAAGUCGAAUGCGGCACGGACUUCGGUCUGGUGGCGAGUGGCGAACGGGUGAGUAAUGUAUCGGAACGUGCCUAGUAGCGGGGAUAACUACGCGAAAGCGUAGCUAAUAUCGCAUGGCCAGACCCUUCGGUGUAGUGCGGGGACCUUCGGGCUCAAAAUUAUUAGAGCGUGCCGAUAUCGGAUUAGCUAGUUGUGUGCAACGGCUCACCAAGGGACAUCCGUAGCUGGUUUGAGAGGACGACCAGCCACACUGGGACUUGUGACACGGGCCUUAGACUCUACGGGAGGCAGCAGUGGGGAAUGGAUAACGGGGAAACCCUGAUCCAGCCAUCCCGCGUGUGCGAUGAAGUGCCUUCGGGACAAAAAGCACUUUUGGCAGGAAGAAACGGCAUCGAUAAUACCUCGCGCAACUGACGGUACCUGCAGAAUAAGCACCGGCUAACCACGCCAGCAGCCGCGGUACGUAGGGUGCAAGCGUUAACGAAUCACGGGGCGUGGGAAGCGCAGGCGGUUCGGAAAGCAGCAUGUGAACCUGGAGUUUUAACUUUGGAACUGCAUUUUUAACUACCGAGCUGGAAGUGUGUCAGGAGGGAGGGAAUUCCGGGCGUAGCAGCGCGGAAUGCGUAGAUAUGCGGAGGAACACCGAUGGCGAAGGCGCCUCCUGAUACACUGACGCUCGCACGAAAGCGUGGGGAGCAAACAGAUUAGAUACCCCGGUAGUCCACGCCCUAAACGAUGUCAACUAUUGCUGGGGCCUUCUGCCUCGCAGCGCAGCUAAUUGCGUGAAGUUGACCGCCUGGGGACAUGGUCGCAAGAUUAAAAACUCAAAGGAAUUGACGGGGACCCGCACAAGCGGACAUGAUUUAAUUCGAUGCAACGCGAAAACCUUACCUACCCUUGACAUGUGCCCGGAAUCCCGAAGAGAUUUGCUGUCGCAGAGAACCGAACAACAGGUGCUGCAUGGCUGUCGUCAGCUCGUGUCGUGAUGUUGGGUUAUCCGCAACCGAGCGCAACCUUGUCAUUAGUUGCUACGAAAGGGCACUCUAAUGAGAUCGUCGGUGACAAACCGAGGAAGGUGGGGAUGAUGCCAAGUCCUCAUGGCCCUUGAGGUAGGCUUACACGUCAUACAAUGGUCGGGACAGAGGGUCGCCAACCCGCGAGGGGGAGCCAAUCCCAGAAACCCGAUCGUAGUCCGGAUCGCAGUCUGCAACCUGACUGCGUGAAGUCGGAAUCGCUAGUAAUCGCGGAUCAGCAUGUCGGCAGGAAUACGUUCCCGGGUCUUGUACACACCGCCCGUCACACCAUGGAGUGGGUUUUACCAGAAGUAGUUACCUAACCGUAAGAGGAAGAUUACUACUGGGGAGAUCAUGACUGGGGUGAAGUCGUAACAAGG
RNAcentral lists this ribosomal RNA (1440 nucleotides) under uncultured Bordetella sp. RNAcentral's name for it is "partial 16S-23S ribosomal RNA intergenic spacer". It matches the Rfam family "Bacterial small subunit ribosomal RNA". Lineage: Bacteria; Pseudomonadati; Pseudomonadota; Betaproteobacteria; Burkholderiales; Alcaligenaceae. The record is from RNAcentral.